This is a long non-coding RNA of Bactrocera tryoni, 508 nucleotides long. RefSeq lists it as uncharacterized. Lineage: Eukaryota; Metazoa; Arthropoda; Insecta; Diptera; Tephritidae. The record is from RefSeq and is a predicted model, not a curated record. The transcript has 3 exons.
GGUUCCUGUCACUCUCUCAAUAUCAAGAUCUAAAAAUUAUGUCACAUUAUUUAACAGUCAACUGAAGUCAACUGAAUCGCAGUUUGCCCCCUUUGCUUUCUUGGGCAGCAAUAUCUCCUCGCUUAUUUGGCCCAGUAGCGGCGGACUCCUCAUUUUUACCAUUGGGUGGCGUUCUCAUCAUUUUGGAGUUCCUUCGGAAAGGAUUCUCCGAUGUUAGCCCAAUACUAUUUUCAGAGGCCAUGUCCUCUGCGAAAGAAUAGUUUGGGAACACCCUUUGUUUCUGUCCCAAACAGCUGAUCGACCAACACAAAAAACGGCAGAACAAAAAAUUAUUAAAUGCACGUUAUUGGAAGGGGAAAAGGCUAUAUUUGCCAAAUUUUGCCAAAAAACGGAAAGAUUUGGUAUCCACACAUGUGGUUCACUAUCUGGGAUGUUUCACUCGAACAACCACUAUUUUUCACAACAAAAAUACUGGAUAUCUACAAAGUUUUUGGAUCGCAAAAAAAAA